GUACACUCCUACGGGAGGCAGCAGUGGGGAAUAUUGGACAAUGGGCGCAAGCCUGAUCCAGCCAUGCCGCGUGAGUGAUGAAGGCCCUAGGGUCGUAAAGCUCUUUCACCGGUGAAGAUAAUGACGGUAACCGGAGAAGAAGCCCCGGCUAACUUCGUGCCAGCAGCCGCGGUAAUACGAAGGGGGCUAGCGUUGUUCGGAUUUACUGGGCGUAAAGCGCACGUAGGCGGACUAUUAAGUCAGGGGUGAAAUCCCGGGGCUCAACCCCGGAACUGCCUUUGAUACUGGUAGUCUUGAGUUCGAGAGAGGUGAGUGGAAUUCCGAGUGUAGAGGUGAAAUUCGUAGAUAUUCGGAGGAACACCAGUGGCGAAGGCGGCUCACUGGCUCGAUACUGACGCUGAGGUGCGAAAGCGUGGGGAACAAACAGGAUUAGAAACCCCUGUAGUCCC
Molecule: ribosomal RNA, 449 nt
Filed under: uncultured organism
Description: partial 16S ribosomal RNA
Rfam family: Bacterial small subunit ribosomal RNA
Source: RNAcentral